GGCCCCGCCCACGUCAUGGCGCCCGAGGAGAAUGCGGGGACCGAACUCUUGCUGCAGAGUUUCGAGCGCCGCUUCCUGGCGGCGCGCACGCUGCGCUCCUUCCCCUGGCAGGGGGGCGGCGGGCGAGCGGAGAGGCCCGCGGGGCUCGCGGGAGUCCAGGGGCAGACGGGAUGGGUCUCCGUGCUGAAACCCCCGGCGCUCCUGCCACAGCUUAGAAGCAAAGUUAAGAGACUCAUCAGAUUCUGAGCUGCUGCGGGAUAUUUUGCAGAAGACUGUGAAGCAUCCUGUGUGUGUGUGAAGCACCCGCCGUCAGUCAAGAAAGCCCGGUGCUUUCUCUCAGAACUCAUCAAAAAGCACGAGGCUGUCCACAUGGAGGCUUUGGACGAGCUGUAUGAGGCACUGGCAGAGACCCUGAUGGCCAAGGAGUCCACCCAGGGCCACCGGAGUUAUUUGCUGUAACCUGAAGCUUUCACCGUAGACGUGCUGUAUUGCCCAGAAGCCAUCGUGUCGCUGGUCGGGAUCCUGCGGAGGCUGGCUGCCUGCUGGGAGCACCAGCAGUCUCCUGAGGUCUACGUGGCCUUUACCGUCCACAACCCAGAGACGUGCCAGCUGUUCACCACCGAGCUAGGCCGGGCUGGGAUCAUAUGGGAAGCGGAAGCUCAUCAUGACCAGAAACUGUUUCCCUAUGGAGAGCACUUGGAGAUGGCAAUGCUGAACCUCACACUGUAGGACUCACACACGACUCCAACGGGAUUGUGAGAAUCAAGUCAAUCUCAUGGGAAGAAUUUUUAUAUGGGAAAGCGGAUAAAACUUUCAUUGUACUGGAAUGUUUGGAGAAUGUUAAAUUCCAAAUCAGAAACCACAAACUGCCCUCUAAUAAGACAUCGGCUAUCUAAGCGUGUGGGUGCCCCCUUUCUGCCAGCAGUUCUGGUUCUUACGAAAAUCACCAUAUAUCAGACAUGAAAAUUCUGGCUUUGUGCAGAUAAAAAAGUGUGUAUCAAGUAUGACGUUCCCCCAAUGUGGACACACUUGGUUCCUCAGAAAGCCAAGCCCACUGCAGCUGCCACAUCCCUGGACACACUCGGUUCCUCACAAAGCCAAGCCCGCUGCAGCUGUCACAUCCCUGGACACACUCGGUUCCUCACAAAGCCAAGCCCACUGCAGCUGCCACAUCCCUGAGCCUAUGGUGCAGCAGGUGCUUUUUUCAAGACAGGGAUCAAAGUGUUAGGAACACGGCAGAAAGGUGACACCUGGAGACCAAAUGCAGGAUGAGGAGUACUGCAGAGGUCACAGGGAAGUCAGAGAACAGUAAUACGCUAACAGGGGCACGGGGCAUGAAGAACAAAAGACAGGAAGCGUUUCAGAGACUCCAAAGAAGAAAUCAGGGCCAACCACAGCUUCCCGGGUCAUUCACCAGGUGGCACCACUGCCGUCAUUUCAGCUUCUGGCCACUGGGAGGCGCUGCUCGAAAGGGUUUGCCCUGACACUCCAAGAAGCUGCGGGAAGGACAGCAGGGGCCCUGGGGUUUUAGCCUCUGGCCCAGGAGUUAUGUGUCCAUAACCAAAGGGAGCACAGUCUGCACCCAGCUCUCAUCCCAUCAGAGCUGCUGCGACUCCUGCAGGUUCUUCCGGAACUGGUUUAGCUUGCCUGCAGGAUCAGGAAAGUUUGAGAAAAGCAUCUGCAAAAUACUAAAGAGCAGAGCUUACCUCAUUGCCUGUCCCCACCCCAUCCCAGGUCACCACCUGGCUGACCCCAGGUCCCCGACCCAACAACAACCCCUCCCAAGUCCCUAACUCCCUCACUUGGACUUGAGACCCUUCACACCCCAGCAGCGCUCCGCCUCCCACUUGACAUCAUGCUUUCUGGAAACUUCCCCGUAUGUCCCACUUUCCCACACUUGGUGCCCUGGAGCACCUUCCGGCCUCUACAUGCUGUACGUUCCCCUGUGAGCACCCUCCUCUCGGCCUCUGGCCAACACAGUCCCACCCAUCUGUGGGUAACAAGGGGGAGUGGGUGUUCUUUUCAGCCUUGCUAAACUCUCUGAAUCAAGGAUCACAAACUACAGCCUGCAGGCCAAAUCCAGCCCACAGCCUGUGUUUGUAAAUAAAGCUUUAUUGGAAGAAAGCCACACCCCUUAA
Molecule: long non-coding RNA, 2138 nt
Organism: Homo sapiens (human)
Lineage: Eukaryota; Metazoa; Chordata; Mammalia; Primates; Hominidae
Gene: FAM86DP
Product: family with sequence similarity 86 member D, pseudogene
Source: Ensembl